UUCUUAUUAGCUUAAAAGUAGAGUAUAAUACUUCUAAUAUUGAGAUUCUAGUUCGAAUCUAGAAUAAGAUA
Molecule: transfer RNA, 71 nt
Filed under: Coniochaeta ligniaria NRRL 30616
Lineage: Eukaryota; Fungi; Ascomycota; Sordariomycetes; Coniochaetales; Coniochaetaceae
Rfam family: tRNA
About the family: Transfer RNA (tRNA) molecules are approximately 80 nucleotides in length. Their secondary structure includes four short double-helical elements and three loops (D, anti-codon, and T loops). Further hydrogen bonds mediate the characteristic L-shaped molecular structure. tRNAs have two regions of fundamental functional importance: the anti-codon, which is responsible for specific mRNA codon recognition, and the 3' end, to which the tRNAs corresponding amino acid is attached (by aminoacyl-tRNA synthetases). tRNAs cope with the degeneracy of the genetic code in two manners: having more than one tRNA (with a specific anti-codon) for a particular amino acid; and 'wobble' base-pairing, i.e. permitting non-standard base-pairing at the 3rd anti-codon position.
Source: Rfam by way of RNAcentral